GACGAACCGUGCGAACGUUAUUCGGAAUCACUGGGCUUAAAGCGCGUGUAGGCGGGACGGCACGUCGGUCGUUGAAAUCCCCCGGCUCAACCGGGGAACGGGCGCCGAUACGACCGUCCUGGAGGGACGUAGGGGGACCUGGAACUUCCGGUGGAGCGGUGAAAUGCGUUGAGAUCGGAAGGAACGCCCGUGGCGAAAGCGAGGUCCUGGACGUUUUCUGACGCUGAGACGCGAAAGCCAGGGGAGCGAACGGG
RNAcentral lists this ribosomal RNA (254 nucleotides) under uncultured bacterium. RNAcentral's name for it is "partial 16S ribosomal RNA". It matches the Rfam family "Bacterial small subunit ribosomal RNA", at positions 524 to 776 of the family's 1533-position model. The record is from RNAcentral.